RNAcentral lists this unclassified non-coding RNA (173 nucleotides) under soil metagenome. Its description in RNAcentral is "partial internal transcribed spacer 1". The record is from RNAcentral.
CAAGAAGCCGAAAGGCUACUUAAAACCAUCGCGAACUUAUCCAAGUUGCUUCGGCGGCGCGGCUCCCCUCACGGGGACCGCAGCCCCCGCCUCUCAGGAGGUAAGGGGCAAGCCGCCGGAGGUACGAAACUCUGUAUUAUAGUGGUAUCUCUGAGUAUAAAACAAAUAAGUUA